Molecule: ribosomal RNA, 403 nt
Filed under: Verrucomicrobiota bacterium
Lineage: Bacteria; Pseudomonadati; Verrucomicrobiota
Description: Verrucomicrobia bacterium partial 16S ribosomal RNA
Rfam family: Bacterial small subunit ribosomal RNA
Source: RNAcentral
UGGGGAAUAUUGCACAAUGGGGGAAACCCUGAUGCAGCGACGCCGCGUGAGCGAAGAAGGCUUUCGAGUCGUAAAGCUCUGUCCUAUGAGAAGAUAAUGACGGUAUCAUAGGAGGAAGCCCUGGCUAAAUACGUGCCAGCAGCCGCGGUAAUACGUAUGGGGCGAGCGUUGUCCGGAAUUAUUGGGCGUAAAGCGCGCGCAGGCGGACUAGCCAGUCAGUCUUAAAAGUUCGGGGCUUAACCCCGUGAUGGGAUUGAAACUACUAGUCUAGAGUAUCGGAGAGGAAAGUGGAAUUCCUAGUGUAGCGGUGAAAUGCGUAGAUAUUAGGAAGAACACCAGUGGCGAAGGCGACUUUCUGGACGAACACUGACGCUGAGGCGCGAAAGCCAGGGGAGCGAACGGG